This 387-nucleotide ribosomal RNA is filed under the name uncultured bacterium. RNAcentral's name for it is "bacterial SSU rRNA". It matches the Rfam family "Archaeal small subunit ribosomal RNA", at positions 339 to 726 of the family's 1478-position model. The record is from RNAcentral.
UCGAGAAAACUUUACAAUGCUGGCGACAGCGAUAAGGGAACCUCGAGUGCCAGGUUACAAAUCUGGCUGUCGAGACGCCUAAAAAGCAUUUCAUAGCAAGGGCCGGGCAAGACCGGUGCCAGCCGCCGCGGUAACACCGGCGGCUCGAGUGGUAACCGUUAUUAUUGGGUCUAAAGGGUCUGUAGCCGGCCGGAUAAGUCUCUUGAGAAAUCUGGCAGCUUAACUGUCAGGCUUUCAGGAGAUACUGUCUGGCUCGAGACCGGGAGAGGCGAGAGGUACUUCAGGGGUAGGGGUGAAACCUUGUAAUCCUUGAAGGACCACCAGUGGCGAAGGCGUCUCACCAGAACGGACCUGACGGCAAGGGACGAAAGCUAGGGGCACGAACCG